Molecule: ribosomal RNA, 395 nt
Filed under: uncultured bacterium
Lineage: Bacteria
Description: partial 16S ribosomal RNA
Rfam family: Bacterial small subunit ribosomal RNA
Source: RNAcentral
CCUACGGGAUGCAGCAGUGAGGAAUAUUGGUCAAUGGGCGCGAGCCUGAACCAGCCAAGUCGCGUGAAGGAUGACUGUCCUACGGGUUGUAAACUUCUUUUGUAAAGGAAUAAAGUCAGGCACGUGUGCCUUUUUGUAUGUACUUUAUGAAUAAGGAUCGGCUAACUCCGUGCCAGUAGCCGCGGUAAUACGGAGGAUCCGAGCGUUAUCCGGAUUUAUUGGGUUUAAAGGGAGCGUAGAUGGGUUGUUAAGUCAGUUGUGAAAGUUUGCGGGUCAACCGUAAAAUUGCAGUUGAUACUGGCAGUCUUGAGUACGGUUGAGGUAGGCGGAAUGCGUGGUGUAGCGGUGAAAUGCAUAGAUAUCACGAAGAACUCCGAUUGCGAAGGCAGCAUACU